GUUUUCUCCACUGUAGGUAACAUAGAGGAAGCCGUCAUCGUCCUUCUUCUCAUCGUAGAUUGCAGACAUGAUUGCCCCUGUUGGCGGUAGCACAUUGUCAAUAAAUAUGAAUAUUGCCUUUUCUGCACUCAAUUUGAUUCUUUUGCGAAUGACAUAGACAAAUUGCCCAACUGUCAAGUCAGCUGGCACAAGAUACUUUUUCUUAUCGAUGUUGGGAAUAUCACUUUUUUCAGCCUUCUCAACUAUUACCGGAAUCCUAUCUGCGUAUUUUUCCCUAAUCCUAGCAGCCUCAGCUCGCCUUUUCUCAAGAUCAUGUUCUUGCUUGAAUGAGCUCUUAGCCAUUUUUCCUUUUGUGAUAAUAUGAUGGUCAAUAGAGAGAAAAAGAAGAUAAAGAAUGAAGGUUGAGUAAUUCACGACUUUGCUUUUGC
Molecule: unclassified non-coding RNA, 428 nt
Filed under: Hevea brasiliensis (rubber tree)
Lineage: Eukaryota; Viridiplantae; Streptophyta; Magnoliopsida; Malpighiales; Euphorbiaceae
Source: RNAcentral